GUUUCUCUCCCUUGUUUCCUCUCCCCUGCUCUCACACGUGCACUACACUUGCCAUGCCUCCUAAGUUUCAUUAAGACAGGCGUUCCUCUCCCUUGCUCUAACACGUGCAUUGCACGUGCCAUACAUCCUUAGAUUCAUUAAGACCAGCGCAAAUGAGACGAGGAUCUCUGACUGUCAGUCUCCGAAUCCCGCUCCUUACACAGAAGCUGCAAAAUCCCGUCCGUUCCCCUUGAAAACGAGUAAAACAACGAUCCAGAUACAGAGAAGAGGAGGAGGCGAGCUACGGAGAUUCGCCAUGAAAUCGCGAGCUACCUUCGGCCUCUUUACCGCUUUCAUGGCGCUUCUAGUUUUCGUCACCACCAAACUCCAGUACGAACACAUAAAGUUGGAGAGUCGCUGGUGGCCUUCCUCCUCAACCAAGGAUCCGGACCACGAUCGCUUUGGGUUCUCGGGUUCUUUGCCUCGGGGCAUUGUGAAAUCGACAUCUGACAUGGAGCUGAAGCCUCUGUGGAAGAACUCAAGGUUAAAAGGCACUAGCGAGAAUUACAUUGCUCUCUUGGCAAUGCCUGUUGGUAUUGAGCAAAAGAAAAAUGUGAACAUAAUAGUUCGGAAGUUUCUCUCUGCGAAUUGCUCCAUUAUACUUUUUCAUUAUGAUGGGAAUGUGGAUGGAUGGCAUGAUCUUGAAUGGAGCGAGAAGGCAAUACAUAUACUUGCUCAUAACCAAACAAAAUGGUGGUUUGCAAAACGCUUUUUACAUCCAGAUGUUGUAUCCUCCUAUGACUAUAUCUUUCUAUGGGAUGAAGAUUUAGGAGUGAAGAAUUUUCACCCUGGAAGGUAUUUGCAAAUCAUGAUUUCUGAAGGUUUAGAAAUUUCACAACCUGCUUUGGAUCCUGAUCUAUCUGAAAUUCAUCACCGCAUUACCAUCCGCAAUAAAACGGGGAAGCUCCACAGGCGAGUCUAUGAUUUUCGUGGGAGCUUGAAUUGCUCAGAUAAAAGCAGAGGGCCUCCUUGCACUGGAUGGGUGGAGGGAAUGGCACCUGUGUUUUCACGAGCUGCCUGGCGUUGUGUGUGGCAUCUCAUCCAGAACGAUCUGAUUCAUGGGUGGGGUUUGGACAUGAAGCUUGGAUACUGUGCUCAGGGGGACCGAACUAAGAAGGUUGGAGUGAUCGAUAGUGAAUUCGUUAUUCACCAGGGGAUACCAUCGUUGGGCGGAUCAUCUGCAAAUAAGAAUUUGGCUGUUGGAUUCUUGCAGCUUUCCAAUCAUGGCUCUUCAGAACAUUCGACAGUGAAGGUACAGGGUGAAAGAUCCAUUGAUUUAAGAUCCCAGAUCAGGAGACAGUCGACAGCUGAACUGCAAAUAUUCCGGAAGCGGUGGGAUCGAGCUGUGAGGGAAGAUGAGGACUGGACUGAUCCUUUCAAACCCGUCAGAAGGAGAAGGGCAGCUACUUGAACCAUUGCUUCCAUAAGGUUACGUUUUACAAGGAAGAAUUUCCCAUUAUUUUAUUAUUCUUUAAGUGCGCCACCCCUCGCGACAGAUUGGCGGUGUUCAUUGGAGGUUCGGCGAUAAUUUUCAUGCAGCAGAACACGUAAUUGCAUCCUUGCUGGAGUUGUGAGAUUAGAAAUACGUCUGAUACCAUAAAUUCAAAAAUAUAAGAAGUUAGAUUUUCAGUCUGUCUUUUUCCAUGAACUUGCCUUUCACUAUCAUUCUGUAGCCCUGGGGUGUAUUAUUAUGGUUGUACAGUGGCAAAAUUGUAACUUGAUAGGAAAUUUUGUCCCUUGAUUGCUUUAGGAGAGUCUGAUUUCUGUUCAAAUGCAGCUUACUCAUGGGAAAAAAAAAAAGAGAGAGAGAGAGAGAGAGGUAGAAGAAGAAGAAAAGAUAUGAAAUAGAAAAGGAAAAAAGAAAACAAAGAAGAAGAAGCAGAGGAAGAAUUGAUUAGCAUUUCUAUUACCUGGGGUUAGGCCAUUUCUUGCAAUUUCAUUUGGAAUAUAGACCAACUACAGCUGAAAAUGUCACACUUACGUAAUGUAUUUUUAGGGCUGUGUCAUUACUGUACAUGGCAGGUCUAUAUGGGUAUGUUUGGUAUUUAUUGGUAGGAGGAAUAUUUGAUAGGAUGGCAGAGUACAACGGCCAUAUUCAUGCAAUCAGUUGUAAAUGUGGGAUGAAUUUAGCACCAGUUGAACUGUCCAAUUUUUGGACCCACCGUAGAUAGGUUGAAAUUUAGAUUGAUAGAAUGAUUGAGCUCUUCUGAUUAACGGAUUAUUUAUUUAUUUAUUUUGAAUUUGGAUCCUUUAACUAGUAUUCAUUUCAACAAUUGCCCAGUUAGGGCAUCAGCUCAGUGUAAUUUCUGGUUCAUGGCCCAUUUAAAGUGGGAUCCAUGACUUGGAUGGUGUAAUUUGAGUUACAUAUAUGCACGGUGCCCUGUUCUUAGGUGCAUUACCAUAGAAGUCUUACUUUAAUUAUUGGUACCUGGCCAUUACGAUCCAUUACCAAAGCCUACCAAUUAGGGUUUGUUAGGUUUGAUGGACGCCAUGUACGUACUAACAGCAGUCGAUAGAUGAGUAAAACAAAUAAAUAGAAAAAAAGAAAAAUAAGGGAA
RNA transcript from Magnolia sinica, 2597 nucleotides. RefSeq lists it as uncharacterized. The transcript has 15 exons. NCBI's taxonomy places the organism in Eukaryota, Viridiplantae, Streptophyta, Magnoliopsida, Magnoliales, Magnoliaceae. The record is from RefSeq and is a predicted model, not a curated record.